UACGGAGACUACGAGCGUUACUCGGAUUCACUGGGCGUAAAGGGUGCGCAGGUGGCCGUGUGUGUUAGGUGUGAAAUCUCGGGGCUCAACCCCGAAACUGCGCCUAAAACUACACGGCUAGAGUUCUGGAGGGGUAAGCGGAAUUCCUGGUGUAGCAGUGAAAUGCGUAGAUAUCAGGAGGAACACCAAAGGCGAAGGCAGCUUACUGGACAGAUACUGACACUCAGGCACGAAAGCGUGGGGAGCAAAAAGG
This 253-nucleotide ribosomal RNA is filed under the name uncultured bacterium. RNAcentral's name for it is "partial 16S ribosomal RNA". It matches the Rfam family "Bacterial small subunit ribosomal RNA", at positions 524 to 776 of the family's 1533-position model. The record is from RNAcentral.